Oncorhynchus keta (chum salmon) is the source of this 2056-nucleotide long non-coding RNA. RefSeq lists it as uncharacterized. The transcript is spliced from 3 exons. The record is from RefSeq and is a predicted model, not a curated record. Lineage: Eukaryota; Metazoa; Chordata; Actinopteri; Salmoniformes; Salmonidae.
UUAAUACACUGCUCUGAUAGGGUAGUUUAAUACACUGCUCUGAUAGGGUAGUUUAAUACACUGCUCUGAUAGGGUAGUUUAAUACACUGCUCUGAUAGGGUAGUUUAAUACACUGCUCUGAUAGGGUAGUUUAAUACACUGCUCUGAUAGGGUAGUUUAAUACACUGCUCUGAUAGGGUAGUUUAAUACACUGCUCUGAUAGGGUAGUUUAAUACACUGCUCUGAUAGGGUAGUUUAAUACACUGCUCUGAUAGGGUAGUUUAAUACACUGCUCUGAUAGGGUAGUUUUAUACACUGCUCUGAUAGGGUAGUUUAAUACACUGCUCUGAUAGGGUAGUUUUAUACACUGCUCUGAUAGGGUAGUUUAAUACACUGCUCUGAUAGGGUAGUUUAAUACACUGCUCUGAUAGGGUAGUUUUAUACACUGCUCUGAUAGGGUAGUUUAAUACACUGCUCUGAUAGGGUAGUUUAAUACACUGCUCUGAUAGGGUAGUUUUAUACACUGCUCUGAUAGGGUAGUUUUAUACACUGCUCUGAUAGGGUAGUUUAAUACACUGCUCUGAUAGGGUAGUUUAAUACACUGCUCUGAUAGGGUAGUUUAAUACACUGCUCUGAUAGGGUAGUUUAAUACACUGCUCUGAUAGGGUAGUUUUAUACACUGCUCUGAUAGGGUAGUUUAAUACACUGCUCUGAUAGGGUAGUUUAAUACACUGCUCUGAUAGGGUAGUUUAAUACACUGCUCUGAUAGGGUAGUUUUAUACACUGCUCUGAUAGGUUAGUUUAAUACACUGCUCUGAUAGGGUAGUUUAAUGCUCUGAAGACUGUUGAUGGAGACGGACUGACUGGAAUGUUUUGGUUCCUGAUAUAUGGAGGGGUCAAAUCUGAAGCCCUAUUCUCUAUGUAGUGCACUAAGGGGAAUGAGGGGUCAAAUCUGAAGCCCUAUUCUCUAUGUAGUGCACUAAGGGGAACGAGGGGUCAAAUCUGAACCCUAUUCUCUAUGUAGUGCACUAAGGGGAUUAGUAGGGGUCAAAUCUGAAGCCCUAUUCUCUAUGUAGUGCACUAAGGGGAACGAGGGGUCAAAUCUGAAGCCCUAUUCUCUAUGUAGUGCACUAAGGGGAUAGUAGGGGUCAAAUCUGAAGCCCUAUUCUCUAUGUAGUGCACUAAGGGGAUAGUAGGGGUCAAAUCUGAAGCCCUAUUCUCUAUGUAGUGCACUAAGGGGAACGAGGGGUCAAAUCUGAACCCUAUUCUCUAUGUAGUGCACUAAGGGGAUAGUAGGGGUCAAAUCUGAAGCCCUAUUCUCUAUGUAGUGCACUAAGGGGAUAGUAGGGGUCAAAUCUGAAGCCCUAUUCUCUAUGUAGUGCACUAAGGGGAACGAGGGGUCAAAUCUGAAGCCCUAUUCUCUAUGUAGUGCACUAAGGGGAUUAGUAGGGGUCAAAUCUGAAGCCCUAUUCUCUAUGUAGUGCACUAAGGGGAACGAGGGGUCAAAUCUGAAGCCCUAUUCUCUAUGUAGUGCACUAAGGGGAUUAGUAGGGGUCAAAUCUGAACCCUAUUCUCUAUGUAGUGCACUAAGGGGAACGAGGGGUCAAAUCUGAAGCCCUAUUCUCUAUGUAGUGCACUAAGGGGAUUAGUAGGGGUCAAAUCUGAAGCACUAUUCUCUAUGUAGUGCACUAAGGGGAUAGUAGGGGUCAAAUCUGAGCCCUAUUCUCUAUGUAGUGCACUAAGGGGAUUAGUAGGGGUCAAAUCUGAAGCCCUAUUCUCUGUAGUGCACUAAGGGGAUAGUAGGGCUCCUCACUAUGAAGGGAAUAGUGGGGAAAACACCGGUCGGAUAUUUUGAAGACGAAGCCUUUUUGUUACUGAUACGGUUGUGGUUUUAUACAGUACCAAUGUGAAAGCACAUUGACGAUCUAUAUUCCUUUAAUUAUGAAUGACACGAUGCUUUAUGGAUUCAUCCCAGACUGCUCUCUGUUUUCUACACAGAUGCAGACCUUUGAGGGAAAACUUUUAUACUUUGGGUUUUUGGAAUAAUAAAAAAAUAAAUAAAAACAUGUUUUGAACA